CCUACGGGAGGCAGCAGUGAGGAAUAUUGGACAAUGGAUGGAAAUCUGAUCCAGCCAUGCCGCGUGAAGGACGACGGUCCUAUGGAUUGUAAACUUCUUUUGUAUGGGAGCAAUAAGGUUCUANCGUGUAGAUUCGAUGAGAGUCCCUACGA
RNAcentral lists this ribosomal RNA (152 nucleotides) under uncultured bacterium. Its description in RNAcentral is "partial 16S ribosomal RNA". It matches the Rfam family "Bacterial small subunit ribosomal RNA", at positions 338 to 485 of the family's 1533-position model. The record is from RNAcentral.